UGCAGGAUGACGGUCCUAUGGAUUGUAAACUGCUUUUGUACGGGAAGAAACACUCCUUCGUGAAGGAGCUUGACGGUACCGUAAGAAUAAGGAUCGGCUAACUCCGUGCCAGCAGCCGCGGUAAUACGGAGGAUCCAAGCGUUAUCCGGAAUCAUUGGGUUUAAAGGGUCCGUAGGCGGUCUUGUAAGUCAGUGGUGAAAGCCCAUCGCUCAACGGUGGAACGGCCAUUGAUACUGCAGGACUUGAAUUAUUGGGAAGUAACUAGGAUAUGUAGUGUAGCGGUGAAAUGCUUAGAGAUUACAUGGAAUACCAAUUGCGAAGGCAGGUUACUACCAAUUGAUUGACGCUGAUGGACGAAAGCGUGGGUAGCGAACAGGAUUAGAUACCCUGGUAGUCCACGCCGUAAACGA
This 410-nucleotide ribosomal RNA is filed under the name uncultured bacterium. RNAcentral's name for it is "bacterial SSU rRNA". It matches the Rfam family "Bacterial small subunit ribosomal RNA", at positions 402 to 809 of the family's 1533-position model. The record is from RNAcentral.